Molecule: ribosomal RNA, 402 nt
Filed under: uncultured bacterium
Lineage: Bacteria
Description: bacterial SSU rRNA
Rfam family: Bacterial small subunit ribosomal RNA
Source: RNAcentral
UGGGGAAUAUUGCACAAUGGGGGAAACCCUGAUGCAGCGACGCCGCGUGAAGGAAGAAGUAUCUCGGUAUGUAAACUUCUAUCAGCAGGGAAGAUAAUGACGGUACCUGACUAAGAAGCCCCGGCUAACUACGUGCCAGCAGCCGCGGUAAUACGUAGGGGGCAAGCGUUAUCCGGAUUUACUGGGUGUAAAGGGAGCGUAGGCGGCGGAGCAAGUCAGAAGUGAAAGCCCGGGGCUCAACCCCGGGACGGCUUUUGAAACUGCCCUGCUUGAUUUCAGGAGAGGUAAGCGGAAUUCCUAGUGUAGCGGUGAAAUGCGUAGAUAUUAGGAGGAACACCAGUGGCGAAGGCGGCUUACUGGACUGACAAUGACGCUGAGGCUCGAAAGCGUGGGGAGCAAACA